This is a long non-coding RNA of Triticum aestivum (bread wheat), 2241 nucleotides long. RefSeq lists it as uncharacterized. The record is from RefSeq and is a predicted model, not a curated record. The transcript has 3 exons. NCBI's taxonomy places the organism in Eukaryota, Viridiplantae, Streptophyta, Magnoliopsida, Poales, Poaceae.
CGUAUCUCAUUGCCGCCGUCGCGCUCACCACCUUGUCCACCGUCCUCAUGUCCAUCUAAUGUGAUCUUCCUGUGUACAGUGUUCAUUACAGUGUUUAAGUAGGCUUGCCAUUCUUUAUGUGUUCCAUUUUCAGCCUGUCCUGUUUUUGCAAAAAGCUGGUGGAUGCAGGAGCGGAUGAGCCCCGUCGAUGGAGGGGGCCAAGGUGGACGACCGCACAGGGCCCCCCAAAAUUUGGGGCCCCCAGAUUACCAGGUUUAGUAUUGAGAAAGACUGUACGUAUUAAUCCACCUGCUAACCAAGCCCGUACAGAGAGCCCACUCAGCAACCAAGCCAGCCCAUGAGGCCUCCUUGUACAUGUAUCGAUCGGGCAUGUUCCAUCAUCGAUCGCUAGCCCUAAACACAACAAGCCACCGGUUCGCUUCUGCCAAUCGCCCAGGACGGCGCCGUCUGCUGGCUGCCUUUCGCCGAUCGGCGAUCACAGAACCUCGACGCCGCCUCCAUGGCGCCCUCCAAUCCUCGACUAGUACUAGUUUCCAGCUAAGAAACAUAUGCUAAGAUGGUAGCAACAGAGGAUCAUUACAUAUAAAAGCAUUAGGAUGCUUGGAAGGAAAAAAAUGACGACAUAAACAGAGCAUCUAUCCCUCGAUAUUCGCUUGAAAGGACAUUGAAUUGGCUGGCAACAUUUACAUAAUGAGCUAUCAAAUGGAUCAGGCAUCCACAUAUCAUGUAUGUGCUUGUUAUAGUGAAAACUGUAACUAACACAAUCUCUUCUGAAAUCAAAUUGUGCAUCUCUUGAAACUUUGUUAUCCAGCUGUAGCCACCUGUGCUGAUUAGCCAUCCAUUUCUCAUUGCAGGUAUUACCGUGGACACCAAAUUUCAUUACCUCGAGUACCUUUGCAUUCAGGACAAAGAACUUAGGCAAAGUUAACAUCUGGUCUCUUGCCUUCAUAGGUUUCCAAGACUAUUGCUCUGAGAUGGACUUCAAGGCAUUCGAUAGGAUCAAGGGUGUCAUAUUGCGGCACAUUUUUCAUAUACUCCCUAAGAUGUGACUACAAAAUAACAAGGAAAGCAUCUAAGAAAUCCAACAAUUGCGUCCAGAUUGGGGCCAAUAUAAUCUAGAACCAAGAUCCUCACUGUGCACAUCAAAGUAGUCAAGCAGAUGGGGAUCAUUUCCUGGAGAAAACGAAGAAGAUGUAGCAGGCUAUAAUGCAAAUAAGAACGCCGGAAUGCGAGUUUCAGGAGACUUGUCCUACCUCAGGAAUUAUUGUUCCAUGCUCAAGUUUGGAGAUUCUGGGAGUCAGGUAGCCCAACACCGCCAAUUUCGGUGGGGCGAUGACCCUAAUUGUUCUUGGACCCUCUUGACCAGGUUGGAUCAAUCUUUCAAGGCAUGGUGCAUCCUCAAUGAUAAGCUCCACCAUAUCUGCUUGGUGACGAACAUAGACACAAAUACUCCGGAGAGUCGACGAGAUGAUACGGAUGACAGUAAGCCCAUGGAUGCUCUGUAGAUCAAGGUUCUCGAGCAUAGUGCCUCCAGAAAGCAGGCGGUGGAAGACCGACUCCGAGAUGAUGAUGUCAUAGAGCUUGAGUUGCUUUAGCCGAGGGAGAAGAAGUGCGGGGGCGACAUCAAUCUUAGAUAAAUUGCAACCGUCGAUGAUGGCAAGCCGCAAAGUAGGCGCGAAGCGGAGCACAGAAGGAGGCACUAGGCAUUGCGUGUUUCUCCCAUAGAAGUCGAGCUCCUCAAGGCCAUUGAGGGCAGGGGUCCGGAACCAGAUGUCAAACCUGGCAUAGGAGUCAUUGCGGAGGCAGAUGCUGCGGAGGGAAAGGCGACGGGCUGGUCCAGGAUGCGAGAUGAGGAUGUUGGAGAUGAUGGCCAUGUGGUCGCGCCCUUGCCCUGGAUGUUUUGAAUAGAAGGUCGUAGUUGACGGCAAGGUUUAGUGGGGCCGAGCGCCAGAGGUGGCGCCACCGGGUGGAGAGAAUGGGGAUCCGUGUGGCCUCUUUAGUGGGGAGGAGGGAGAUGAUGCUGCCGAGGAUGUCGUCGGGGAGGCGGCUGAUGAUGUCUUGUGAUUCCAGCUUGUCCAGCCUCUGCUUCUUGGGUAAGGAAGUCAUUGCAUCAUCCAUGGCUGCUGCAACCAAAAUAUCUGCAAAAGAUAGAAAAACACAUUUGUUGAAAAGAACACAUGAACAGAAGUAUUUUCUCCGCCACAACUUGAACCUUUCAUUCAUGAAUGUACAUUAUACUUA